GACGAACCGUGCGAACGUUGUUCGGAAUCACUGGGCUUAAAGGGCGCGUAGGCGGGCUGCCGCGUCCGGGGUGAAAUCCCACGGCUCAACCGUGGAACUGCCUCGGAUACGGGCGGUCUUGAGGGGGGUAGGGGCACGCGGAACUGUGGGUGGAGCGGUGAAAUGCGUUGAUAUCCACAGGAACUCCGGUGGCGAAGGCGGCGUGCUGGACCCCAUCUGACGCUGAGGCGCGAAAGCGUGGGGAGCGAACAGG
Molecule: ribosomal RNA, 253 nt
Filed under: uncultured bacterium
Lineage: Bacteria
Description: partial 16S ribosomal RNA
Rfam family: Bacterial small subunit ribosomal RNA
Source: RNAcentral